This 493-nucleotide long non-coding RNA is filed under the name Mytilus galloprovincialis (Mediterranean mussel). The record is from RNAcentral. Lineage: Eukaryota; Metazoa; Mollusca; Bivalvia; Mytilida; Mytilidae.
AAAAUCCCAAAGUUAUUAUCAUAUCACAACAGGGAGUAAAUUGAUAAUGCAUUUAUGUAAUAAAAGCACAUGGUAAUUAAUCUAAAUAUAUAGACAUUUGGGAGGGGCUUAUAUGUCACUCAUCUGUUGAUACCAGUGUCCAGCUGUUAAUCCCUGAACACAAGAUAAAUAUUGUAGUCUUAUCUCAUUGUUUUGCAACACAAAUUAUUUAUAUAACAUGGAAGUGAACAAAGAAAAAGAAAAAAAAAAAACUAAAGGGAAAAAAUCUACCAAAAAAGAAAAAAAGUACUAUGGAAAAGAGUGGGGAAGUAUUUUUGAAAGCCUCUGACUGCCUUUAUAAAUUUCUUCUCUUUGGUCUUCUUCAUCUAAAUACAGUUUUAUGAAUUUUAACUAAUUUUCAGUUUAAGUCUAUUUUUUUCUGUCCCAUUAAAUUAAAUGUAUUUUCAAGAAAAGGGUGGUCUUGAUCUUUUUAUGAACAUGUUUUUUGAUGCAC